UACGGAAGGCAGCAGUGGGGAAUAUUGCACAAUGGGCGAAAGCCUGAUGCAGCUAUGCCGCGUGUAUGAAGAAGGCCUUAGGGUUGUAAAGUACUUUCAUCGGGGAGGAAAAAACAAAACUAAUAAUUUUAUUUCUUGACGUUACCCGAAAAAGAAGCACCGGCUAACUCCGUGCCAGCAGCCGCGGUAAUACGGAGGGUGCUAGCGUUAAUCAGAAUUAUUGGGCGUAAAGAGCACGUAGGUGGUUUUUUUAAGUCAGAUGUGAAAUCCCUGGGCUUAACCUGGAACUGCAUUUUGAAACUGAAAUACUAGAGUAUCGUAGAGGGAGGUAGAAUUCUAGGUGUAGCGGUGAAAUGCGUAGAUAUCUGGAGGAAUACCUGUGGCGAAAGCGGCCUCCUAAACGAAUACUGACACUGAGGUGCGAAAGCGUGGGGAGCAAACAGGGAUUAGAUACC
Molecule: ribosomal RNA, 455 nt
Filed under: uncultured bacterium
Lineage: Bacteria
Description: bacterial SSU rRNA
Rfam family: Bacterial small subunit ribosomal RNA
Source: RNAcentral